UGCGCAGGCGGGGCAAUAAGUCAGUGGUGAAAUCCUGCGGCUUAACCGUAGAACUGCCAUUGAUACUGUUGCCCUUGAGUAUAGUUGAGGUGGGCGGAAUAUGUAAUGUAGCGGUGAAAUGCAUAGAUAUUACAUAGAACACCGAUUGCGAAGGCAGCUCACUAAACUAUCACUGACGCUGAGGCACGAAAGCGUGGGGAGCGAACAGGAUUAGAUACCCUGGUAGUCC
This 229-nucleotide ribosomal RNA is filed under the name uncultured bacterium. RNAcentral's name for it is "partial 16S ribosomal RNA". It matches the Rfam family "Bacterial small subunit ribosomal RNA", at positions 568 to 796 of the family's 1533-position model. The record is from RNAcentral.